This is a long non-coding RNA of Mercenaria mercenaria, 2985 nucleotides long. RefSeq lists it as uncharacterized. The record is from RefSeq and is a predicted model, not a curated record. Lineage: Eukaryota; Metazoa; Mollusca; Bivalvia; Venerida; Veneridae. The transcript has 4 exons.
CAAAUGGCGAUCGGACUGGCAUGUUAUUGGGCAAUCUUGUUUGUUUUGCCUCUCGCCUGUGCUACUUUUGUUUGCAAUGACACAUAUUCAAACACACAAGGUCUGCAGUGUUUUCCAUGUGGGCCAGGAUAUACAAAGAAAGAUGAAUGUAGGACAAACCAAACUCUCGCACAGUGUAUCCGAUGCAAUGAAGGAACGUACCAACCACACUGUUUAUCUGCAAAUGAAACUGGUGUGUGCAGAAACUGCACGUUAUGUAAUGUUUAUAUAGAAAAUUGUACUAUUUACCAUGAUGCUGUCUGUGGAGGGAGCAAUAAUGUAAAGGAAGGUACCAGUGAAGGAAAUGGAUUUUCAGUAUUGAUGUUGCCUUUCAUAUGGCUCUUCUCAGUUUUCGUCAUCGCCUGCACAUUUGUUUUCUGCCAAUACAGGUAUAAUUUUGUGACACUGGUAUAGAGGCUACAAAACACAACGUAAUCUGCACUUAUUAUCCCUAGCAAUAAUUUUGAGAAAACAGAAGCUCAUGCCGAAAUACUGAAUGUUAACAAAUUUUAUUUAUUUAUUUUUUUGAAUAUAUUUAAUAACAUUAGUUUAUGAAUAAAAUACCAAGUAUCGUAUAUCAAUAAUAAGGGCAACACAAAAAUAAAGUAAAAUUGCUGCGAAAGGUAGACAGAAGUUAUUUUCCCAUAAUUCAACAAUUGCAGGACUGACAGCAAGGAGGACUGACAGUUCAAAGAAAUACUGGAUAAUACCUUGCGAAAAUUACUAAAGAGUAACUAAAGUAAACAUAGCUAUUAAUGAAACGAAGCUUUUACUAACGGUAAAGUUCCAAGAAAUAUUGCAAACGGGACGUUAGGGCGAGUACGUCUAUUCGUACGUCCGUCAUAUUUUGUGUUCGGGUCAUAACUGAAUAACCCUUAAUGGUAUUGACUUUAAACUGUGCAUAUAUGUAGUUGGCGAUAAGACAAUGCGCAAAGCAUAUGACCCAGGUUGCAGGUUGAAGGGCAAGGUCACAACUGGAGCUCAUAGUUAAAUGAUAACAUCAUUUUUCGUUUUCGGAGCAUAGCUUAAAACGGUUUAAAGUAUUGACCUUAACUUAGCGUAUAGGUAGGUGGCGAUCAGACAAUGUGCGAAAACAUUAAACAUUUUGGAAGGCGAAAGGUCAAGACAACAAAUGGAGCUCAAAGGCCAAAUUUGUCAUCCAUGUUGGUGACCGGAGUUAAAUUUAAUAACUAUGCAAGAUAAGGAUCCAGUUUUCUUCAAUUUUACUCUUUACUCCUCUAAUCUUCCGGUGUAUAUUGUUCUGCUUUGCGGAGCCCUAUGUUGCCAUUGCGUUGUUAGAGAUUCACAUCGCAGGUAUUACUUUCAUUUACACUAUCCUGUCCCGGACCAUUGCAGGCCUAGGACUUAAGUUAGGUAUUCUCCAAAACCAAUUAAACCUCCUACAUGGUGAUUUUAUCAGUGACUACCUUAAGGCGGCGGUGCACUACCGCCUCUCUUUGUUUGCUGUAUUUGUGUGUGUGUGUGUGUGUGUGUUUUGUUUGUGUGUAUGAGUUUAUGCGCGUCUGUGCAAGUGUGCGUGUGCACGUGCGUGCUUUGUUUCUGGAUAUUUAUUCUUGUUUGCUUUGUAUGAACCUCAAACAUAACUGUAUGUUUCGAAUCUAUAUAUAACGGUAUAAUUUGUUUGUUUGUUUUGGGUUUAACGCCGUUUUUCAACAGUAUUUCAGUCAUGUAACGGCGGGCAGUUAAACUAACCAGUGUUCCUGGAUUCUGUACCAGUACAUAUCUGUUCUCCGCAAGUAACUGCCAAUUUCCCCACAUGAGUCAGAGGUGGAGGACUAAUGAUAUCAAACAAAAUGUCGUUUAUCAAAUAGUCAUGGAGAAUAUACGCCCGAGGAUCGAACUCGCGACCCCGAGAUCCGUAGACCAACGCUCUUACCUACUGAGCUAAGCGUGCGGGCUAAUAUAACGGUAUAAUGUUUUGUAAAUGAUUAAUAAUGGUAUUGUUAUCUGAGGAUUUCACAUAUUGUAAAAUCCCACAUUUCCUUUAUAUUAUGUUUUCUGCUUGGAAGUAGCAAUUUUGUUUUUGACACGAUGAUUAUCUGGACAGAUUACUUUAAAACAAGCUCACAGGAAUCAUUUGUUGCCAGAUAGAACCUACAUCUCUUGACAGGCGAAUAAAACCAUCAUGUUUCUAAAGUUUGUAAAUUGCUUAAACACCACCCUUGAGUGUCAAAAUAUGCAUACACAUUUUGAAACUUGAAAAGAACAUAUUCUAAAAACCAUUUCGAUUACGGUAUGUGUCGCAAAUACCUUAUCACAAGACAACCCCCUCGCUACAGGUCAAAUUUGGUAAUUCAGUAUGUGUGAGAAAAAAUGGUAUUUUGUCCAGCCUUUUUACUAAGUUUGCCCCUUGUGGCUUUGUUCUUUAUGCAGGGUUGAAAUACUUUGAGAUCGCAGCUGCACACUAUGAGGUUUACAUCAAGGAUACCUAGUAAAUAUUACUACGCAGACAGUAGAUUAACUUUUGAGAAUAUCCAUUCUUUUCAAGUAAAGUAGUGCAUAAUGACAUUACAUUUCACAUAUAUUAACACUGUAAGCGACUAUUGUAAAAUUAACUUACCUCGAAACAAACAUAAUGACUAUAUUGCUAAAUGACCAAAUCUUUCUGUGAAAGGUGCCGACAGCGUCUUAAUGAAGUCGGCAAUAACAAAAGGAACAAUGCUGUGGAUCGAGUAAUACCAAGAGACGAUUGCAACCCUGGUGAUAGAAGAAAAGGCGAAUACAUACAUAACUUUACAACCCAAAAUGAAUUGGCAUAUCCUUUGGAAAACAGACGGAGUACUUCGAAAAACAUAAACAGUACUGUUGGCAAGGUUCCGAUAAUUGAAUGCUUGUUAGGAGAAAACGACAAGAAGAAAGCUCCUGGAGGCUCUACACCGAAUGAUGUGGACGUACACGUUGACGCAGGGUCCCAACAUAGAUCUA